GCCGGGAUAGCUCAGUGGUAGAGCAGAGCUUUUGUAAAGCUAAGGUCGGGGGUCCAAAUCCUCUUCCCGGCU
Molecule: transfer RNA, 72 nt
Filed under: Candidatus Woesebacteria bacterium
Lineage: Bacteria; Candidatus Woeseibacteriota
Description: tRNA-Thr
Rfam family: tRNA
About the family: Transfer RNA (tRNA) molecules are approximately 80 nucleotides in length.
Source: RNAcentral